GGCUCAGGAUGAACGCUAGCUACAGGCCUAACACAUGCAAGUCGAGGGGCAGCGCGUUGUAGCAAUACGAUGGCGGCGACCGGCGAAAGGGUGCGUAACGCGUGAGCAACCUGCCCGUAUCCGGGACAUAAGCGGUGGAAACGCCGUCUAAUUUCCCAUAACAACGAGGGCCGCAUGGUCCAUGUUUGAAAGAUGCGUCGGAUACGGAUGGGCUCGCGAGACAUUAGCUAGUCGGCGUGGUAACGGCACACCGAGGCGACGAUGUCUAGGGGUUCUGAGAGGAAGGUCCCCCACAUUGGAACUGAGACACGGUCCAAACUCCUACGGGAGGCAGCAGUGAGGAAUAUUGGUCAAUGGGCGGGAGCCUGAACCAGCCAAGUCGCGUGAGGGAUGAAGGUCCUAUGGAUUGCAGACCUCUUUUGCCGGGGAGCAACGUGCGCCACGCGUGGCGCAGUGAGAGUACCCGGAGAAAAAGCAUCGGCUAACUCCGUGCC
Molecule: ribosomal RNA, 494 nt
Filed under: uncultured organism
Description: SSU rRNA
Rfam family: Bacterial small subunit ribosomal RNA
Source: RNAcentral